Long non-coding RNA from Medicago truncatula (barrel medic), 737 nucleotides. RefSeq lists it as uncharacterized. The record is from RefSeq and is a predicted model, not a curated record. NCBI's taxonomy places the organism in Eukaryota, Viridiplantae, Streptophyta, Magnoliopsida, Fabales, Fabaceae. The transcript has 4 exons.
CCCUCCUUUCUCUCCCCUAUCUCUGCGAUUCUUCAUCUCCCAUCUCUUUUCCCCUUUCACCGUUGUCUUUCUCCUCUCAUCCCCCCUUCACCAAUGCUCUUGGUUACGGCACCUUUCUCGGGCGAACCAUCACCGUGAGCGACGACGAUAAUGACGGGAAGUUUCUUUUGUUCUCUUUCUUCUUCUUCUUCUUCUGCAGUUUCUUUCUUUCUUCUAUUAUCAUCAUAUGUUUCAUUUACUUGGGGUUUCAAUUUGCAGAAGCAUAAACAAUCAGCACAACAAAAAGAUAGGAGCAUGAAUAAAACUUUACCUCUGGAAGAGCAAAGAGGCAAGAAUGAAGAUAGGUGCAGGGCUAGAAAACUCCAUAUUUCAAACUAGAGGAACUGUUUGUCAGUGUAGUUCUGGGCUAAGAAUUCAAAGCUUUUGAAGACAAAAUGGCCACUUGCAUGAAGUUUUUGUGAAUGGGUUUGAAUUGAGGAGCAUUUGUUACUAUUCACUUCUGAUUUUUUCGGUGCUGCUCUUCUCUUUUUCAACCUCUGCAAAGUAUAGUGUCUACAAAGUGUCUAAAGAAUUACAAUAUCAUUUUUGUUUAUUGGUGCAAGUAUAGUGUCACAGUGGAUCUCAUGAUAUAUGUACAGAGUGUCUAAAGAAGUAUGCGAAGGGAUUUAGAUAGCAUUUUUACAUUGACAAACUUGAUUUUAGAGGGAUGGUGGAAUAACCAAACAACUUGACACCGC